AUUGAACGCUGGCGGCAUGCUUUACACAUGCAAGUCGAACGGUAACAGGGAGCUUGCUCCGCUGACGAGUGGCGAACGGGUGAGUAAUGCAUCGGAACGUACCCUGUCGUGGGGGAUAACGAAUCGAAAGAUUCGCUAAUACCGCAUACGACCUGAGGGUGAAAGCGGGGGAUCGCAAGACCUCGCGCGAGAGGAGCGGCCGAUGGCGGAUUAGCUAGUUGGUGGGGUAAAGGCCCACCAAGGCGACGAUCCGUAGCGGGUCUGAGAGGACGGCCCGCCACACUGGGACUGAGACACGGCCCAGACUCCUACGGGAGGCAGCAGUGGGGAAUUUUGGACAAUGGGGGCAACCCUGAUCCAGCCAUUCCGCGUGAGUGAAGAAGGCCUUCGG
This 391-nucleotide ribosomal RNA is filed under the name uncultured bacterium. Its description in RNAcentral is "bacterial SSU rRNA". It matches the Rfam family "Bacterial small subunit ribosomal RNA", at positions 29 to 421 of the family's 1533-position model. The record is from RNAcentral.